Molecule: non-coding RNA, 113 nt
Organism: Acanthosepion pharaonis
Lineage: Eukaryota; Metazoa; Mollusca; Cephalopoda; Sepiida; Sepiidae
Source: the annotation of a GenBank genome assembly
CGGCCGCAUCGCGUUCAAACACCAGUUCCCCCUUGUGAUCAACGAAGUUAAGCAACGUUGAGCCUGAUCAGUAACUAGAUGGGUAACCAUUUGGGAAUACCAGGUACUGUAAG